Molecule: long non-coding RNA, 715 nt
Filed under: Homo sapiens (human)
Lineage: Eukaryota; Metazoa; Chordata; Mammalia; Primates; Hominidae
Description: non-protein coding LINC01569:26
Source: RNAcentral
GAUCUGCUCCCGGACUCCUUCAGCGCGCUGCCUGCCUGCCCAGGGCCUUCCCGGAGAGCAGGUGACGGCGGCCUCCGGGCAUGGAGCUCGCGCUGACGAAAGGUUCUGGAAGCCGCCGUAAAAAGUAAUCAAGAAACGGGUGACAGGACUUUUCCCUGACCAACAUGAUGAAACCCCAUCUAAAAAUACAAAACAAUUAGCCGGACUGUAGUGGUGCACGCCUGUAAUCGCAGCUACUCAGAAGGCUGAGGCAGGAGAAUUGCUUGCAUCCAGGAGGUGGAGGUUGCAGUGAGCUGAGAUCACGCCAUUGCACUCCAGCCUAGGCGACAGACCCUUUGAGGAACCGUUUGAGGUGUGGCACGAUACAGCAAGUCAGCUGCCAAAGAGGGGCUUAGCCACAGGAAGUGCGUGCCCAGAACGCAUCUCCCGUGUCCCUCACAGCAGUUCUAUGAGGCUGGCUGCCCUGUUUGACAACUGAGGCCCGCAUCUUCCCCGGAAUCACCGACGUGUGGCUCUGAGCCCUGUCCCAGGGAUUUUCUCCAUCAGAGAAGAGGAGCACUUUGAGCUUUGAGAGGAGCAGCCCUCUGCAAGUGAAGUGGAAAAAAAGGAAGCAGGCGAGGAGGCCCAUCCAGACCCUCCCCCAAGACCCUUGCUGAAAUGGCUGGGAUGCGGCGUGCAGAAGCUCUCCUUUCCUUCACAGCCCCUGGCUUUCCAA